This 497-nucleotide ribosomal RNA is filed under the name uncultured bacterium. RNAcentral describes it as "partial 16S ribosomal RNA". It matches the Rfam family "Bacterial small subunit ribosomal RNA", at positions 28 to 507 of the family's 1533-position model. The record is from RNAcentral.
GAUGAACGCUGGCGGCGUGCCUAAUACAUGCAAGUCGAGCGAACAGAUGAGGAGCUUGCUCCUCUGACGUUAGCGGCGGACGGGUGAGUAACACGUGGAUAACCUACCUAUAAGACUGGGAUAACUUCGGGAAACCGGAGCUAAUACCGGAUAAUAUAUUGAACCGCAUGGUUCAAUAGUGAAAGACGGUUUUGCUGUCACUUAUAGAUGGAUCCGCGCCGCAUUAGCUAGUUGGUAAGGUAACGGCUUACCAAGGCAACGAUGCGUAGCCGACCGGAGAGGGUGAUCGGCCACACUGGAACUGAGACACGGUCCAGACUCCUACGGGAGGCAGCAGUAGGGAAUCUUCCGCAAUGGGCGGAAGCCUGACGGAGCAACGCCGCGUGAGUGAUGAAGGUCUUCGGAUCGUAAAACUCUGUUAUUAGGGAAGAACAAAUGUGUAAGUAACUAUGCACGUCUUGACGGUACCUAAUCAGAAAGCCACGGCUAACUACGUG